RNAcentral lists this ribosomal RNA (440 nucleotides) under uncultured bacterium. Its description in RNAcentral is "partial 16S ribosomal RNA". It matches the Rfam family "Bacterial small subunit ribosomal RNA", at positions 338 to 795 of the family's 1533-position model. The record is from RNAcentral.
CCUACGGGUGGCUGCAGUGGGGGAUAUUGCACAAUGGGGGAAACCCUGAUGCAGCGACGCCGCGUGUGGGAAGACGGUCCUAUGGAUUGUAAACCACUGUCACCAGGGACGAAGAUGACGGUCCUUGGGGAGGAAGCUCCGGCUAACUACGUGACAGCAGCCGCGGUACUACGUAGGGACCGAGGGUUGUCCGGAAUUACGGGGUGAAAGGGGAGCGUAGGGGGGGAUGCAAGUUGGGUGUAAAUACUACCGGCUAAACUGGUAGUCGCACUCAAAACUGCAGCUCUUGAGUGAAGUAGAGGCAGGCGGAAUUCCUAGUGUAGCGGUGAAAUGCGUAGAUAUUAGGAAGAACACCGGUGGCGAAGGCGGCCUGCUGAGCUUUUACUGACGCUGAGGCUCGAAAGUGUGGGGAGCAAACAGGAUUAGAUACCCGGGUAGUC